UCAAUUCUUCGGGGCGAGGUGAAAUUCCUCACCGACGGUGAUAGUCCGUGAGUGCGUUAGCACUGAUUUGGUGAAAUUCCAAAACCGACAGUAUAGUCUGGAUGGGAGAAGGAUAGU
This 117-nucleotide non-coding RNA is filed under the name Candidatus Epulonipiscium sp. Its description in RNAcentral is "Epulopiscium sp. FMN sequence". It matches the Rfam family "FMN riboswitch aptamer (RFN element)". Rfam says of the family: The RFN element is a highly conserved domain that is found frequently in the 5'-untranslated regions of prokaryotic mRNAs that encode for flavin mononucleotide (FMN) biosynthesis and transport proteins. This element is a metabolite-dependent riboswitch that directly binds FMN in the absence of proteins. The record is from RNAcentral. Lineage: Bacteria; Bacillati; Bacillota; Clostridia; Lachnospirales; Lachnospiraceae.